CGGGGCGUAGCGCAGUCUGGUAGCGCAUCGUGUUCGGAACGCGGAGGUCGGAGGUUCAAAUCCUCUCGCCCCGACCA
RNAcentral lists this transfer RNA (77 nucleotides) under Rhodospirillaceae bacterium. Its description in RNAcentral is "tRNA-Pro". It matches the Rfam family "tRNA". Rfam says of the family: Transfer RNA (tRNA) molecules are approximately 80 nucleotides in length. Their secondary structure includes four short double-helical elements and three loops (D, anti-codon, and T loops). The record is from RNAcentral. Lineage: Bacteria; Pseudomonadati; Pseudomonadota; Alphaproteobacteria; Rhodospirillales; Rhodospirillaceae.